This 618-nucleotide ribosomal RNA is filed under the name uncultured Gammaproteobacteria bacterium. RNAcentral's name for it is "bacterial SSU rRNA". It matches the Rfam family "Bacterial small subunit ribosomal RNA", at positions 194 to 795 of the family's 1533-position model. The record is from RNAcentral. Lineage: Bacteria; Pseudomonadati; Pseudomonadota; Gammaproteobacteria.
CCUAGGGGGAAAGCGGGGAAUCUUCGGACCUCGCGCUAUCGGAUGAGCCCGCGUCGGAUUAGCUUGUUGGUGGGGUAAUGGCUCACCAAGGCAACGAUCCGUAGCUGGUCUAGAGGACGAUCAGCCACACUGGGACUGAGACACGGCCAGACUCCUACGGGAGGCAGCAGUGGGGAAUAUUGGACAAUGGGCGAAAGCCUGAUCCAGCAAUGCCGCGUGUGUGAAGAAGGCCCUCGGGUUGUAAAGCACUUUCAGUGGGGAAGAAAAGCAGAGGGUCAAUAUCCCUCUGCGCUGACGUUACCCACAGAAGAAGCACCGGCUAACUCCGUGCCAGCAGCCGCGGUAAUACGGAGGGUGCGAGCGUUAAUCAGAAUUACUGGGCGUAAAGGGCGAGUAGGUGGUUCGGUCAGUCGGGUGUGAAAGCCCCGGGCUCAACCUGGGAAUUGCAUUCGAUACUGCCGAGCUCGAGUGUGGUAGAGGGAAGCGGAAUUCCGGGUGUAGCGGUGAAAUGCGUAGAUAUCCGGAGGAACACCAGUGGCGAAGGCGGCUUCCUGGACCAACACUGACACUGAGUCGCGAAAGCGUGGGGAGCAAACAGGAUUAGAUACCCUGGUAGUC